GUAUCUGAAGUCGAUUUACUAGAUCUAUUCACUGCGGUGUCUUCAUUGCGGUGAGUCGACAGCUGAUGUUCCCCUGUCAACUCCGCUUGCGCCUCUUGCUCCGAUGGAGUA
This is a non-coding RNA of Chelonoidis abingdonii (Abingdon island giant tortoise), 111 nucleotides long. Lineage: Eukaryota; Metazoa; Chordata; Testudines; Testudinidae. The record is from RefSeq and is a predicted model, not a curated record.